GUCCCGAUAGCUCAGUUGGCAGAGCGUAGGUCUCAUAAUCCUAAGGUCGUGAGUUCGAGCCUCACUCGGGGCA
Daphnia pulex (common water flea) is the source of this 73-nucleotide non-coding RNA. The record is from Rfam. Lineage: Eukaryota; Metazoa; Arthropoda; Branchiopoda; Diplostraca; Daphniidae.